UAUUAAAGGCGACGCCUGCCCAGUGAACAAUUAAACGGCCGCGGUACCCUAACCGUGCAAAGGUAGCGUAAUCAUUUGCUUAUUAAUUGUAAGCCUGUAUGAAAGGCAAAAUGAGGGCCUAACUGUCUCUUAUAAUAAAUCAAUUAAACUGAUCUUCCAGUACAAAAGCUGGAAUACCGACAUAAGACCAGAAGACCCUGUGAAGCUUAAACUAAACUAUUAAAUCAAAUAAUAACUACUUUCGGUUGGGGCGACCUUGGAAAAAAAAAGAACUUCCAAAUAAGACCCAGCACAGCUGACAAAUGAACCAAGUUACUCCAGGGAUAACAGCGCUAUCUUCUUCAAGAGCCCAUAUCAAAAAGAAGGUUUACGACCUCGAUGUUGGAUCAGGACAUCCUAUUGGUGCAGCCGCUAUUAAAGGUUCGUUUGUUCAACGAUUAAC
RNAcentral lists this ribosomal RNA (442 nucleotides) under Leioheterodon modestus. Its description in RNAcentral is "partial 16S ribosomal RNA". It matches the Rfam family "Bacterial large subunit ribosomal RNA", at positions 1844 to 2592 of the family's 2925-position model. The record is from RNAcentral. Lineage: Eukaryota; Metazoa; Chordata; Lepidosauria; Squamata.